This 464-nucleotide ribosomal RNA is filed under the name uncultured bacterium. RNAcentral's name for it is "partial 16S ribosomal RNA". It matches the Rfam family "Bacterial small subunit ribosomal RNA", at positions 28 to 507 of the family's 1533-position model. The record is from RNAcentral.
GACGAACGCUGGCGGCGUGCUUAACACAUGCCAGUCGAACGGAAAGGCCCAGCUUGCUGGGUGCUCGAGUGGCGAACGGGUGAGUAACACGUGGGUGAUCUGCCCCUAACUUCGGGAUAAGCUUGGGAAACUGGGUCUAAUACCGGAUAGGACAAUCGUUUAGUGUCGGUUGUGGAAAGUUUUUUCGGUUAGGGAUGAGCCCGCGGCCUAUCAGCUUGUUGGUGGGGUAAUGGCCUACCAAGGCGUCGACGGGUAGCCGGCCUGAGAGGGUGGACGGCCACAUUGGGACUGAGAUACGGCCCAGACUCCUACGGGAGGCAGCAGUGGGGAAUAUUGCACAAUGGGCGCAAGCCUGAUGCAGCGACGCCGCGUGGGGGAUGACGGCCUUCGGGUUGUAAACCUCUUUCGACAGGGACGAAGCUUUGGUGACGGCACCUGUAUAAGAAGCACCGGCUAACUACGUG